AAGUCGUAACAAGGUUUCCGUAGGUGAACCUGCGGAAGGAUCAUUACCAAUAUUCAAAAUAUCCAAACCCAUGUGCACGAUGGAACUGUCUUGGUUUUUGGGGUGGGCUAUAGCAAGUUUACCCCAGCCAAUUUUUUUGCUAAACUACUUUGUCACUAUUGUCAUGGAAUUAUUACUUGUUAUUAAUAAAUAUAAUGACAACUUUUAACGGUGGAUCUCUUGGCUCGUG
Molecule: unclassified non-coding RNA, 229 nt
Filed under: fungal sp.
Lineage: Eukaryota; Fungi
Description: partial internal transcribed spacer region
Rfam family: Eukaryotic small subunit ribosomal RNA (bases 1-46)
Source: RNAcentral